RNAcentral lists this long non-coding RNA (219 nucleotides) under Panax ginseng (ginseng). RNAcentral describes it as "long non-coding RNA (PGIN_LNC006304)". Lineage: Eukaryota; Viridiplantae; Streptophyta; Magnoliopsida; Apiales; Araliaceae. The record is from RNAcentral.
GAUUUUUGAUCUAUAGUUUGAUUAUUGUUUGAAUUAUAGAAAGAAAGGAGUUUAGUAAUUGGUGUGAGGAGUAUACUAUAAUGAAGGAAAUAUAUGGGGUUAUAUAUAUAUAAACAUGUAUGAUCUCUGCCAAAAUAAAGAAUGCAUAUGUCAUGUUUGAUAAAAGUUUUCUUUAAAACUUUUGGAUGAAAUUAAGGAAUUUGGUUAGGUUUAUAGUUU